This 483-nucleotide ribosomal RNA is filed under the name uncultured bacterium. RNAcentral's name for it is "bacterial SSU rRNA". It matches the Rfam family "Bacterial small subunit ribosomal RNA", at positions 28 to 502 of the family's 1533-position model. The record is from RNAcentral.
GAUGAACGCUAGCUACAGGCUUAACACAUGCAAGUCGAGGGGCAGCAUGGACAUAGCUUGCUAUGUUUGAUGGCGACCGGCGCACGGGUGCGUAACACGUAUCCAAUCUGCCCGUUACUCGGGGAUAGCCUUCUGAAAGGAAGAUUAAUACCCGAUGGCAUGUAUUUCCGGCAUCGGAGAUACAUUAAAGAAUUUCGGAAACGGAUAGGCUCGCGUGACAUUAGCUAGAUGGCGGGGUAACGGCCCACCAUGGCGACGAUGUCUAGGGGUUCUGAGAGGAAGGUCCCCCACACUGGAACUGAGACACGGUCCAGACUCCUACGGGAGGCAGCAGUGAGGAAUAUUGGUCAAUGGUCUGACGACUGAACCAGCCAUGCCGCGUGAAGGUCACGGCCCUAUGGGUCUUAAACUUCUUUUGUUAGGGAGCAAUAAGUUCUACGUGUAGGAUGAUGAGAGUACCUUACGAAUAAGCAUCGGCUAACU